Molecule: ribosomal RNA, 1003 nt
Filed under: uncultured bacterium
Lineage: Bacteria
Description: bacterial SSU rRNA
Rfam family: Bacterial small subunit ribosomal RNA
Source: RNAcentral
AGUGGGGAAUAUUGCACAAUGGGGGAAACCCUGAUGCAGCAACGCCGCGUGGAGGAUGACGCAUUUCGGUGUGUAAACUCCUUUUCUGUCGGAAGAUAAUGACGGUAUGACAGGAAUAAGCACCGGCUAACUCCGUGCCAGCAGCCGCGGUAAUACGGAGGGUGCAAGCGUUACUCGGAAUCACUGGGCGUAAAGGACGCGUAGGCGGCUUCGUAAGUCAGGUGUGAAAGCCCACGGCUCAACCGUGGAACUGCACUUGAAACUGCGAGGCUAGAGUCUGGGAGAGGCAGAUGGAAUUGGUGGUGUAGGGGUAAAAUCCGUAGAGAUCACCAGGAAUACCGAUGGCGAAGGCGAUCUGCUGGAACAGUACUGACGCUGAGGCGUGAAAGCGUGGGGAGCAAACAGGAUUAGAUACCCUGGUAGUCCACGCCCUAAACGAUGAAUGCUAGUCGUUGGGAUGCUUGUCAUCCCAGUGAUGCAGCUAACGCAAUAAGCAUUCCGCCUGGGGAGUACGGUCGCAAGAUUAAAACUCAAAGGAAUAGACGGGGACCCGCACAAGCGGUGGAGCAUGUGGUUUAAUUCGAAGAUACGCGAAGAACCUUACCUGGGCUUGACAUCCCGAGAAUCCUCCAGAGAUGGGGGAGUGCUACUUCGGUAGAACUCGGUGACAGGUGCUGCACGGCUGUCGUCAGCUCGUGUCGUGAGAUGUUGGGUUAAGUCCCGCAACGAGCGCAACCCUCGUCCUUAGUUGCCAGCACUUUGGGUGGGCACUCUAAGGAGACUGCCUGGGUAACCAGGAGGAAGGUGAGGACGACGUCAAGUCAUCAUGGCCCUUAUGUCCAGGGCGACACACGUGCUACAAUGGCGUGUACAAUGAGAGGCGAUACCGCGAGGUGGAGCAAAUCUAUAAAACACGUCCCAGUUCGGAUUGCAGUCUGCAACUCGACUGCAUGAAGUUGGAAUCGCUAGUAAUCGUGAAUCAGCCAUGUCACGGUGAAUACGU